RNAcentral lists this long non-coding RNA (638 nucleotides) under Gossypium barbadense (sea-island cotton). RNAcentral describes it as "long non-coding RNA (GBAR_LNC020643)". The record is from RNAcentral. Lineage: Eukaryota; Viridiplantae; Streptophyta; Magnoliopsida; Malvales; Malvaceae.
GUAUCUCAACAAUAUAUUAAAUAAAAUUAAAACAAUGCAUUAUUCAUGUAAUACCCAAUUUUAAGCCCGGGCCCAAAUAAAUAAACAUAAAAAAAUAAAAAAAAUGACCCAAUACAUCAGGCCCACCUAGACCUAACCCUAAUGGCCCAAACUCAUAACAGUCAAAGAAACCCUAAGCAGAUUAAACCAAAUCGGCGCCGCAGCAACUGCCCACGUCGCGGCAACCAUUUCCACCCACGUUCAGCAAUCCCCCACACCCACCAUGCACGUUCUUUACUUGCAACAAACCACAAACAGUGGCAAUGACCGAAUAUACAGCAACAAAUUGUAAAAGAUUGGAUUUUUUUUGGUUUUCUCUGUAAAUAUUGGCUAUAAAAAGCCAAUCGAUUUUUUGUAAAUGGGGGGACGAAUAUUGUAUGAAAAAUUAUUGAAAAAACAGAGAAUCAAAUAGUUUUUGGAAAGUGAGGUAUUUUCUUCCUUUUUUUUUUCCUUUCUCUUUCUUUUUUUUUUUUUUUUGGUCUUACUUGUUGAAUGUAAAGAAAAUAACAAAGGAGAAGAAGAGAAACUUACCUUUGAGAGUGUCGAAAUACUCUUUCACUUCGUCUAAAUCGAAGUUGGAGGAGGUUGGUGUGUGAGAG